RNAcentral lists this long non-coding RNA (1094 nucleotides) under Canis lupus dingo (dingo). RNAcentral describes it as "lncRNA (ENSCAFG00020015576.1)". Lineage: Eukaryota; Metazoa; Chordata; Mammalia; Carnivora; Canidae. The record is from RNAcentral.
GGGGUGGAGGAGUCCUCACCAAGGUCGCCCAGGGCUCCCAGGGCAAGGGGGAGCAGGGGGAGUGGGGGCCCCUCCCCUGAUGACCUCCUGUGUCCUCAGGCUGUGGAGCUGACAGCAUUCAAGGCAUCAGGUUUCUAGCGAGCGCUUGUGGACUUCAUGCUCUGCCUGCGUGGGGCCCCCUGAGGGACAGCACGACCCCGUAGGACCACCUGCUGCGUCUGCCAGCCACCUCUGCCUACUUCCAGUGGGACCCCUGCCUUGGAACUGUGCUAGCCCUGCUGUGCCCCACAGCUCAGCACCCCCUAACUUUCCAAGAUUGUCCCCCACACCUCCACCCCUGGCCCUUCCUGGCUGCCUUGAAAUUCAGAGCCCUGCGGUGGCUCUCCUAAUAAGUGGUACCACUGUGACCUGUUCCUUCCUGGGGGUCACCCCAGCCUGGGGAGGGGGACGGGAGGCCAGGCUCCCUGGGAGGAGGGUGGGACAAGAGAAGCUGCCCCUUAGUCUCUGGGAAUCAAGACAGCCCUAGUUUCAUCAACAGGGUUGGUGCAGCCAACACUUAAUGAGCACCUACUGUGUACCUGGCUGGUACUGAGUCCUUGACUCUUAGAGCUGUGGGUCCUCACCUCAGCUCCAUGACUAUUGUCACCCCCAUUAUACAGAGGAAGAAGCUGAGGCUCAGAGAUAUUCUCCCCCGCUGGUGCGGUGAGGGGAAGUCCCCCAGACAAGACUGCUCAGAGAAGGCACCAGGGUAGGUGGGCCUGGCUCCAGGUAUGAUGGGUCAUGCUGCGGGGAGACCCCAACUCAGACUCUGGCUAUGGGACAGGGUGCUGCCUGCCACCACUGAUUCUAGGGGCUAGGGGCAAGACUCCUGAGUCCAGGUCCCUUCUUAGGGAGAGUUGGCUUCAGGGCUGAGGUGAUCGGUGGUGAUGACAUGUUAGAGGCUGGCACCAGGGUGGGCCUUGAGGUGGAAGCCAGGUGAAGGAUGGGCCCAGGGGCCGCUACCACUGUCCUGCCGACCUCAUCCUAGCUCAGAUGCUGCAGGGGCCAGAGGAUGUGAGCAUCAGAGCAGCCUCCCUGGAGGAGGCUCACUUGAG